UACGGAGGGAGCUAGCGUUAUUCGGAAUUACUGGGCGUAAAGCGCACGUAGGCGGAUCUUUAAGUCAGGGGUGAAAUCCCAAGGCUCAACCUUGGAACUGCCUUUGAUACUGGGGAUCUCGAGUCCGGAAGAGGUUGGUGGAACUGCGAGUGUAGAGGUGAAAUUCGUAGAUAUUCGCAAGAACACCAGUGGCGAAGGCGGCCAACUGGUCCGGUACUGACGCUGAGGUGCGAAAGCGUGGGGAGCAAACAGG
This 253-nucleotide ribosomal RNA is filed under the name uncultured bacterium. RNAcentral describes it as "partial 16S ribosomal RNA". It matches the Rfam family "Bacterial small subunit ribosomal RNA", at positions 524 to 776 of the family's 1533-position model. The record is from RNAcentral.